CGUAGGUGGCAAGCGUUGUCCGGAAUUAUUGGGCGUAAAGGGCGCGCAGGCGGUUCGGUAAGUCUGUCUUAAAAGUGCGGGGCUUAACCCCGUGAGGGGACGGAAACUGUCGAACUUGAGUGUCGGAGAGGAAAGCGGAAUUCCUAGUGUAGCGGUGAAAUGCGUAGAUAUUAGGAGGAACACCGGUGGCGAAAGCGGCUUUCUGGACGACAACUGACGCUGAGGCGCGAAAGCGUGGGGAGCAAACAGGAUU
Molecule: ribosomal RNA, 253 nt
Filed under: uncultured bacterium
Lineage: Bacteria
Description: partial 16S ribosomal RNA
Rfam family: Bacterial small subunit ribosomal RNA
Source: RNAcentral